GAUGAACGCUAGCUACAGGCUUAACACAUGCAAGUCGCGGGGCAGCAUGGGGGUUGCUUGCAAUCCCCGAUGGCGACCGGCGCACGGGUGAGUAACGCGUAUCCAACCUGCCCUUCACCACGGGAUAACCCGGCGAAAGUCGGACUAAUACCGUAUGUUGUCCAUUGACGGCCUCCGAUUUGGACGAAAGGCUUGGCGGUGAGGGAUGGGGAUGCGUCCGAUUAGCCAGACGGCGGGGUAACGGCCCACCGUGGCUACGAUCGGUAGGGGUUCUGAGAGGAAGGUCCCCCACACUGGAACUGAGACACGGUCCAGACUCCUACGGGAGGCAGCAGUGAGGAAUAUUGGUCAAUGGGCGUAAGCCUGAACCAGCCAAGUAGCGUGCAGGAUGACGGCCCUAUGGGUUGUAAACUGCUUUUAUGCGGGGAUAAAGUGGCCCACGUGUGGGCUUUUGCAGGUACCGCAUGAAUAAGGACCGGCUAAUUCCGU
Molecule: ribosomal RNA, 489 nt
Filed under: uncultured bacterium
Lineage: Bacteria
Description: partial 16S ribosomal RNA
Rfam family: Bacterial small subunit ribosomal RNA
Source: RNAcentral